UACGUAGGGGGCAAGCGUUGUCCGGAUUUAUUGGGCGUAAAGAGCGUGUAGGCGGUUUUGCAAGUCCGUUGUGAAAACUCGAGGCUCAACCUCGAGACGCCGGUGGAAACUGCAAAGCUAGAGUCCGGAAGAGGAGAGUGGAAUUCCUGGUGUAGCGGUGAAAUGCGCAGAUAUCAGGAAGAACACCCGUGGCGAAGGCGGCUCUCUGGGACGGUACUGACGCUGAGACGCGAAAGCGUGGGGAGCGAACAGG
This 253-nucleotide ribosomal RNA is filed under the name uncultured bacterium. RNAcentral's name for it is "partial 16S ribosomal RNA". It matches the Rfam family "Bacterial small subunit ribosomal RNA", at positions 524 to 776 of the family's 1533-position model. The record is from RNAcentral.